CCUACGGGAGGCAGCAGCAGGGAAUAUUGCACAAUGGGCGAAAGCCUGAUGCAGCGACGCCGCGUGGGGGAUGAAUGCCUUCGGGUUGUAAACCCCUUUCAGGAGGGACGAAGCGAAAGUGACGGUACCUCCAGAAGAAGCCCCGGCCAACUACGUGCCAGCAGCCGCGGUAAUACGUAGGGGGCGAGCGUUGUCCGGAUUUAUUGGGCGUAAAGAGCUCGUAGGCGGCUCAGCAAGUCGGCCGUGAAAGCCCAGGGCUCAACCCUGGGACGCCGGUCGAAACUGCUGUGGCUAGGGUCCGGUAGAGGAGAGUGGAAUUCCCGGUGUAGCGGUGAAAUGCGCAGAUAUCGGGAGGAACACCAGUAGCGAAGGCGGCUCUCUGGGCCGGUACCGACGCUGAGGAGCGAAAGCUAGGGGAGCAAACAGGAUUAGAUACCCUGGUAGUCCUAGCCGUAAACGUUGGACACUAGGUGUGGCGGAUUCAUUGACGUCUGCCGUGCCGAAGCUAACGCAUUAAGUGUCCCGCCUGGGGAGUACGGUCGCAAGGCUAAAACUCAAAGGAAUUGACGG
This 570-nucleotide ribosomal RNA is filed under the name uncultured Streptomycetaceae bacterium. RNAcentral describes it as "bacterial SSU rRNA". It matches the Rfam family "Bacterial small subunit ribosomal RNA", at positions 338 to 916 of the family's 1533-position model. Lineage: Bacteria; Bacillati; Actinomycetota; Actinomycetes; Kitasatosporales; Streptomycetaceae. The record is from RNAcentral.